RNAcentral lists this ribosomal RNA (271 nucleotides) under uncultured bacterium. RNAcentral's name for it is "partial 16S ribosomal RNA". It matches the Rfam family "Bacterial small subunit ribosomal RNA", at positions 524 to 794 of the family's 1533-position model. The record is from RNAcentral.
UACGUAGGGGGCAAGCGUUGUCCGGAUUUAUUGGGCGUAAAGAGCUCGUAGGCGGUUAUCCACGUCGGGUGUGAAAGCUCGGUGCUCAACACCGAGAUGCCAUUCGAUACGGGAUGGCUAGAGGUAGGUAGGGGAGAUUGGAAUUCCUGGUGUAGCGGUGAAAUGCGCAGAUAUCAGGAGGAACACCGGUGGCGAAGGCGGCUCUCUGGGGCUGUUCUGACGCUGAGGCGCGAAGGCUGGGGGAGCAAACAGGAUUAGAAACCCUAGUAGU